Molecule: transfer RNA, 58 nt
Filed under: Salmo salar (Atlantic salmon)
Lineage: Eukaryota; Metazoa; Chordata; Actinopteri; Salmoniformes; Salmonidae
Rfam family: tRNA
About the family: Transfer RNA (tRNA) molecules are approximately 80 nucleotides in length. Their secondary structure includes four short double-helical elements and three loops (D, anti-codon, and T loops). Further hydrogen bonds mediate the characteristic L-shaped molecular structure. tRNAs have two regions of fundamental functional importance: the anti-codon, which is responsible for specific mRNA codon recognition, and the 3' end, to which the tRNAs corresponding amino acid is attached (by aminoacyl-tRNA synthetases). tRNAs cope with the degeneracy of the genetic code in two manners: having more than one tRNA (with a specific anti-codon) for a particular amino acid; and 'wobble' base-pairing, i.e. permitting non-standard base-pairing at the 3rd anti-codon position.
Source: Rfam by way of RNAcentral
UGGCUCAGUUGGUAGAGCAUGGUGUUUGCAACGCCAGUGUUGUGGGUUCGUUUCCCAC